UACGGGAGGCAGCAGUGGGGAAUAUUGCACAAUGGGCGAAAGCCUGAUGCAGCUAUGCCGCGUGUAUGAAGAAGGCCUUAGGGUUGUAAAGUACUUUCAUCGGGGAGGAAAAAACAAAACUAAUAAUUUUAUUUCUUGACGUUACCCGAAAAAGAAGCACCGGCUAACUCCGUGCCAGCAGCCGCGGUAAUACGGAGGGUGCUAGCGUUAAUCAGAAUUACUGGGCGUAAAGAGCACGUAGGUGGUUUUUUUAAGUCAGAUGUGAAAUCCCUGGGCUUAACCUAGGAGCUGCAUUUUGAAACUGAAAUACUAGAGUAUCGUAGAGGGAGGUAGAAUUCUAGGUGUAGCGGUGAAAUGCGUAGAUAUCUGGAGGAAUACCUGUGGCGAAAGCGGCCUCCUAAACGAAUACUGACACUGAGGUGCGAAAGCGUGGGGAGCAAACAGGGAUUAGAUACC
This 456-nucleotide ribosomal RNA is filed under the name uncultured bacterium. RNAcentral describes it as "bacterial SSU rRNA". It matches the Rfam family "Bacterial small subunit ribosomal RNA", at positions 340 to 786 of the family's 1533-position model. The record is from RNAcentral.